UGCGUAGGCGGUCCGACAAGUCAGAGGUGAAAUGCACGAGCUUAACUGGUGAAUUGCCUUUGAAACUGUCGAGCUAGAAUUAUGUUGAGGUCAGCGGAAUGAGUCAUGUAGCGGUGAAAUGCAUAGAUAUGACUUAGAACACCAAUUGCGUAGGCAGCUGGCUAGGCAUUAAUUGACGCUGAGGCACGAAAGCGUGGGGAGCGAACAGGAUUAGAUACCCUGGUAGUCC
Molecule: ribosomal RNA, 229 nt
Filed under: uncultured bacterium
Lineage: Bacteria
Description: partial 16S ribosomal RNA
Rfam family: Bacterial small subunit ribosomal RNA
Source: RNAcentral